CAGAGAGUAGUUUAAAGAAAAAAUAUUAAUUUUGGGGAUUAAAGAUGAAGGUAUUUUUCUCUGA
This 64-nucleotide transfer RNA is filed under the name Aparapotamon gracilipedum. RNAcentral's name for it is "tRNA-Pro". The record is from RNAcentral. Lineage: Eukaryota; Metazoa; Arthropoda; Malacostraca; Decapoda; Potamidae.